CAGUCGAACGGACUCAUAUUGAAACCUAGUGAUUUAUGAGUUAGUGGCGGACGGGUGAGUAACGCGUGGAUAACCUGCCGUACACCGGGGGAUAACACUUAGAAAUAGGUGUUAAUACCGCAUAAGCGCACGGCUCCGCAUGGGGCAGUGUGAAAAACUCCGGUGGUAUACGAUGGAUCCGCGUCUGAUUAGCUAGUUGGCGGGGUAACGGCCCACCAAGGCAGCGAUCAGUAGCCGGCCUGAGAGGGUGGACGGCCACAUUGGGACUGAGACACGGCCCAAACUCCUACGGGAGGCAGCAGUGGGGAAUAUUGCACAAUGGGGGAAACCCUGAUGCAGCGACGCCGCGUGAGUGAAGAAGUAUCUCGGUACGUAAAGCUCUAUCAGCAGGGAAGAAAAUGACGGUACCUGACUAAGAAGCCCCGGCUAACUACGUGCCAGCAGCCGCGGUAAUACGUAGGGGGCAAGCGUUAUCCGGAUUUACUGGGUGUAAAGGGAGCGUAGACGGCAGCACAAGUCUGGAGUGAAAUCCCGGGGCUUAACCCCGGAACUGCUUUGGAAACUGUGCGGCUGGAGUGCAGGAGGGGUAAGCGGAAUUCCUAGUGUAGCGGUGAAAUGCGUAGAUAUUAGGAGGAACACCGGUGGCGAAGGCGGCUUACUGGACUGUAACUGACGUUGAGGCUCGAAAGCGUGGGGAGCAAACAGGAUUAGAUACCCUGGUAGUCCACGCCGUAAACGAUGAUUACUAGGUGUCGGGGGACCAAGGUCCUCCGGUGCCGGCGCAAACGCAUUAAGUAAUCCACCUGGGGAGUACGUUCGCA
Molecule: ribosomal RNA, 821 nt
Filed under: uncultured bacterium
Lineage: Bacteria
Description: bacterial SSU rRNA
Rfam family: Bacterial small subunit ribosomal RNA
Source: RNAcentral